Molecule: ribosomal RNA, 1297 nt
Filed under: uncultured organism
Description: bacterial SSU rRNA
Rfam family: Bacterial small subunit ribosomal RNA
Source: RNAcentral
GUAAAGCGGCGAACGGGUGAGUAACACGUAAGAAACCUGCCCCUAAAUCCGGAAUAACGUUGCUAACGCGGUGCUAAUACCGGAUGUGGUCUCCAGUUUGCAUGAACAGGAGAUUAAAUGUGACCUCUACUUGUAAGUUAUCGUUUAGGGAUGGUCCUGCGGACCAUUAGCUUGUUGGCGGGGUAACGGCCCACCAAUGCUGCGAUGGUUAGCCGGCUUAAGAGGGUGAUCGGCCACAUUGGGACUGAGAUACGGCCCAGACUCCUACGGGAGUGCAGCAGUAGGGAAUUUUGCGCAAUGGACGAAAGUCUGACGCAGCAACGCCGCGUGAGCGAUGAAGGUUUUCGGAUUGUAAAGCUCUGUUGAGUGGGAAGAAAACUCUCCGGGAUAAUACCCCGGAGACUUGACGGUACCACUCGAGGAAGCCCCCGGCUAAAUACGUGCCAGCAGCCGCGGUAAUACGUAUGGGGCAAGCGUUGUUCGGAAUCACUGGGCGUAAAGGGAGUGUCGGCGGAAAGGUAAGUCAGAAGUGUCAUCCACGGGCUUAACCCGUGACUCGCUUUUAAUACUUGCUUUCUUGAAGUAUGGGAGAGGGAGAUGGAAUUCCAGGUGUAGCGGUGGAAUGCGUAGAUAUCUGGAAGAACACCAGUAGCGAAGGCGGUCUCCUGGCCCAAUACUGACGCUGAGGCUCGAAAGCGUGGGGAGCGAACAGGAUUUAGAUACCCUGGUAGUCCACGCCGUAAGCGAUGGACACUAGAUGUUGGCCUCUUCGGGGGUCGGUGUCGUAGCUAACGCGUUAAGUGUCCCGCCUGGGAAGUACGCUCGCAAGAGUGAAACUCAAAGGAAUUGACGGGGGCCCGCACAAGCGGUGGAGCAUGUGCUUUAAUUCGAUGCAACGCGAAGAACCUUACCUGGACUUGACAUGGGGGUGAAAGUUUUCAGAGAUGAAAACCCUUCCUUCGGGAACGCCCUACACAGGUGCUGCAUGGUUGUCGUCAGCUCGUGUCGUGAGAUGUUGGGUUAAGUCCCGCAACGAGCGCAACCCUUGUCCUUAGUUGCCAGCGGGUCAUGCCGGGAACUCUAGGGAGACUGCCUGGUUACAACCAGGAGGACGGUGGGGAUGACGUCAAAUCAUCAUGGCCCUUACGUCCAGGGCUAGACACGUGCUACAAUGGCCGGUACAGAGGGCUGCAAGACUGCGAAGUCAAGCCAAUCCCUAAAAACCGGUCUCAGUUCGGAUUGGAGUCUGCAAUUCGACUCCCUGAAGGUGGAAUCGCUAGUAAUCGCGGAUCAGCAU